Long non-coding RNA from Amphiprion ocellaris (clown anemonefish), 8774 nucleotides. RefSeq lists it as uncharacterized. NCBI's taxonomy places the organism in Eukaryota, Metazoa, Chordata, Actinopteri, Pomacentridae. The transcript is spliced from 5 exons. The record is from RefSeq and is a predicted model, not a curated record.
CCCUGGACUGUGACAGGUUUCCAUAGACACGCGUGGCCUCAAGCAUGCCGUCCAUACUGGAGCUGAGCACCAACUUGAGCAUCACUGAAGUACAAAGAAGAGGUGAUUGGAGGAAAAGUGAUCACUUUUCAGUCAUUAUUUUCCAUUUAUCUCCUUUUUUUGGCCUUACACUUUGCGAUGGUGAGUUCAUUGCGUGUGAUUGGAGAGUCUUCUUCCUGGUAGAAGGACAGGUUGUUGAUGGUUGCGGCUACAUUCACCAUCAGCUCCUCGCUUUCCUGCACAGACCUCAGCUCUGCGUCAACCAAACAUACACGCACAUACAAAGAAGAAGCAAAAUAAGCUUAACAUGGAACACUUUUUACGGAGAGGAUGUUUUAGUUGAUCUUCUUCCAUUAAAAAAUCUUCCUGAAUGAAAUUGCAGCCAACAGAGGGAGCAUGUUUAACAGGAAUACACUACGCAAUGGUCCUGCUGGCCAUUCAUUUAUGUGAAGUGACCCUUAUUCUGGUGACUGUGUUGUGAGGACUGUUAUUACAGCUGUCCAUUGCCAUGUUAAGAAUACAAGUAUUCACAGAGAGCUCUUCCCCAGAUAAUGAAUAACCAGGUGAAAGCAUUGCUUCCUUUUGUGUUGAUCAAAAGAAGCAGUUAAAGUAAGAUGUAGAUUAUUAAUUCUUUCCACCAACACACAAAAGAUCAUUUAAAGUGGGUAGAACUCAGUAUUAGUUUCUAUAUUUGAGGUACAGUGCAGAUGUUACAGGAAAUGCAGGAAAAUGCUCAGAGAAAGAGGACAAUUUCAGCAAUUUAUCUACGAUAGAUGGGGUGACCAAGUGUCCCGCUUUGUGCGGAACUGCACAGCAUUUUCAUCCCUUUUUCCACGUCCCACCAAUUGAGACGCUGUCCCGCAUUUUGAUUGGCAGCUAUAAUUUUCAAAAGCUAAAACUCUAAAGGACAGAUGCUAAGAGUUUUGUUUUUUAUCUGGCUUUUUUCUAUGUUAGUCAAACAGCGCAGAUGUGCGAUCACUACCAGAUUAACCUGUCAGUGUCUUGCUGCCGCACCUUGUUGUCAGUUGCCGUAAAUUGUGCCAGUCGCGACCGGUCGCGACACACCGCAAAGCAGACACAAACACUAAACUGUGGAUUUUGGCGGAGAUAAUGGAAAGUACAGCAAAGAAGAGGAGAUGCAGCUUCAACAAAGACUGGGAAACUACAUAUCACUGGGUGAAGCCGGUGCAAGGUGAUUCUCAGAGAGUUUUCUGUGAAGUUUACCAGAGUUCGUUUUCCGUUUCACACGGUGGGGAAUACGACGUGAAGCGACACGGUACAUGCGAGAUCCUCCUCUCAGCUUUGUCAGUGUAGGAGGUUGGCAACAGAGAACCGAGUUUCACACCCACCUAUCUAUCAGUUCAACCUGUCCUGAAACCAUCUAACCACACGGGAGAAAUUCGCACACGCAAACCAAGUCGUCUGUGAGAUGUGACAGAACAUCCUGCUCAUGCAGCGAGGCGCUUCGCUCUGUCGGAGCAGGUAAACCAAAAGAGGAUGUGCUGCGUAUCGAACAGAAAGCACAGAGAGGAAGGCAGCAAAGGAAUGAACAGGAGUGUGUUUUCAACAAAAUUCACAUCGUGUUCCCAGCACAAGGGAAGUGGUCGGGGCCUCGCAGAUGUACUGUACUCACAAUGCAUUAAACGGCUAUUUUUAAACUCCAUAUUCUCAUACACUGCUUCCUUUGUAUGAUGAGAUACAAGAGAACAAACAGAAAAAGACAAAUCCUACAGCUGUAUGCCUGCUGCUGUGCUCACCGAGCGUCUCCAUCAGAAGCUGAAGGCAGGUCGUGUUGUUGGCCAGCGGUGGACCUACAGCCGGGUGGAUGCACAUGUUUGCCAGCACCCUGACCAGCUUCACCAGCACAUCGUCAGCUUCCUGCGCGCUUACGGAUGAAGCGGGAUACCUGCAUGAGGAAGGGACACACUUCUGCAAGGGUGUGUGAGGUGACACAUCUUUCCUCUGGUAGCUGUUGUACAAUCCAAGGAGUGUGUCCAUACAACUGUUGCACUGAAAGAGCUGCUGGCGAGACUCGUCGAUUUUGGCUGUUAUGUUCCCGAGGGUGAAGAGAAUUCGCACGACAAGGUCCUGUUGGAGAGCAGUUGGAGAUUAUUCUCACAGUUUCUGAGUUAAAUAAAGUGAGCAGUGAAUUCAAUUAGGCAUUUCUUUAUACUGAAAAUGUCAGUGAAACGACAAUCUGUGCUGGGAAAAGUUCCUUUUUAGCUUCAAAAAAUGGGCAGCUAAUAUGGUUUUCUUCAUAAAGCAGCUUAAUUUAGUCAUUGCAAAAAAUAAACAGUAUAUAUUAUGAGCUUUUUUCACUACUUUCUGGGUUUAUAUUUACCAGCUGGUCAUAUACUGAAUUUUAGAGAAGGCAACUAACAAUCCAUGUCAUAUCGUAAUGACCUUUUGUUGUGACCUAUUGACCUUUUGUUGUGACCUACUGUCUUUUUAUUGUGAUCUAUUGGCUUUAUUAUAUUUUUCACUGUUAUGUUUUCUUUGUGUUCUUUUUGCAGUGUGCUUUUAUCGUGACUUAUUGUUUUAUGUGUCGCUGUUAUGUCUUUUUUUCUUUUCACCUAGGGACUGCGGAUGUAAAUUAGCAUUGUGCUAUAAUCCGGCAUAUUUACGGCCAUUGCUGUAUAAAUAGGCAUUUAUUAAUCUGCACUGUCCCUACCAAAUAAACAAAUAUCUAAGAAUCUGCUGAGUAAAAGUACAACACAUCAUGCAAAUGGCCUUCUUUUCUGACUCAGAGAAAAAGUUAAACAUCUUUUUUCUGUUGUUUUGGUCAGAGAAGGGUUAAAUCGAGCCAUUUAUGCUCACAAAGUCUCUGAGCUGUGCAACUGGUGACAAAUUCUUGACCACUGAGUUAAUCCACACUCCGGUCAGAUGUGGCUUUACAGGACAAUGAUCAGACAACGUGGCCAGAAUACUGACACUCCCUUAACCAGCGACUAUAAAAAGCCUCCCUAAAAUGCAGCUUUAUUCGAAUGACUCGAUGCCGCAGAUGACAAGAGACAGAUGAGAAGGGGCUGCUGGAUGCUGGCGAGUCAGAUAAGACUGUAGCUGGGCACUUGAAUGUCUGCUACUUGCCAUUUGUCGUCUAAGAAAUCAUUUCAGGCUGCAUGGUGCGAAAGACAAUCUGCCACAUGAUGCUCUGGAAGGAUGUUUGAGAAAAUGUGAUCCUGUCCCCCUCAAAUGCCAUAUUACAUGCUGCAUUUGUAUUUUUGUUUGCUAUGGUUGAUCUAACCUUGAAAUGCCAGAGAACAGUGAAAAGAGCCCAAAGCGAUCCGUUCAAAUGUCUUGUUUUGUCUAAUGAGCAGUCCAAAACUAAAGAUAUUGAGGUAGAACAUAUAACAGAUAGAAAACCCUCAAUUUUCAAGGGCUAGAAUCAACACAUGUUGACCAUUUUGAUUGAGGCAAGUAGUUUAUUAUCCAAACAGCUGCUGAUUAGUUUGAGCUCCAGGAUAUUUACUGUAGACUUUCCUGAAAAGAGGCAGGCUGACUCAGUCCACCUGCAGCUCGGUGAACCUGCCCUGUCAAGUAGCCCAAUUAUCAGUGUCACUCGUUCAUCUGAGAGAGUUGAGAGCUGUGUAGACGUGCUCCUCUGUAACUACGCCCCGUCUUACCAAGAAAAACUCCGUCACACUCCACUUACUAAAUAACAUGCUGAGCAGGUGAAGACAACAUUUCUCCCAUAAAUGUGCAGUGGCACUGCUGCGAGGAUGGGACAAGCUGUCCCAGUACGAGGAACUUAUUACAUGUUUUGCUGCCCAGUGUGUGUAUUUUUACACGCGGGUGUGUGUUUACUCCAGCUGAGAUUAAGAACACACAUCACUCAUUUCUGAUUGCCAACAAUCCCAUGUUUUUCUUCUCCUCUUUCAACUCUGUCUUUCCUCCCUCCACCUCUGUGUCACCCCAACUCACGUACAAGCUCACCUCCCAUAUUUUUUCCUCUUUCUCCUCCCUCCCUUUUCCUCGACUGACUGACCCCCCCUCCCCAGAGAACGAUUAAAUGUCAAAACACACAGGGCAGAGCAGUGAAGGAGGGAACGUUAUGUGUAGAUGGACGCAGUGUCCCAUAAGCGUGCUUAGACUUGAAGUGCGUAAACAUGUUACUCUGAAAGUACACAUGCUUGUGUGGUGGAGUGGAGUUACACCAUGAAUGCUGGAAAAAUUCAUUUUCACUUCUCUUUAUUACACAAAAACUCAACCACGGCACUAAAACACAGAGGAGAUUUGUGGACUCACCUGUUUUUGGUGAUGUUUGCUCAGCAGUUCUAAAAAUAGCUGGUAGCAGCCUGGGGUUUGGGCCAAAGCGAAGCGGCACUCAGAGUAAGAGGAGAGUUUACUGAGGGAGAGAAGAGACAACAAAUACCACUGAUCAUUCCACUCACUAACUGCUCGGCUGUGCUGACUAAAUAUGGAGAUAUUAAAUCAACACUGCUAAUGGAUACAUAGCCACGGGCUGGGAUCUCAUUUUUAUGUUCCCAUUAUCUUGAGCAAAAAUAUUCAACAGUAUUAGCUUUAUCAGUAGUAUUAAACUAUUUUUUCUUGAUAUUUUGCGUUGUACUAAAUAUUCUGCCUGAUGCUUCACAUAUUAAUGAGGAACUUGAGCCAAAGUAGGAGGCAUGGGGACACAACAUUUUGCAUUGUUGCACUCAGUUUGGAGAACAUUGGGCCUAUAUUGUCACACAGUACAACUUUCCAGUGCAUUUAAUGUAAAGUGUAAGCGACACUUCUACCCUACAUCAGAUUAGUCCACCCUAAAAAUACCUUACAGUCACAAAGUGCUGUGUGUUUUAUGAAGUAUACAGCUCUCUGUGUAAUUGAAAAACAACGAUAUGGAUGAACAAGUUCAAGCAGUAAGUUCUGCUUUUCCUUUCAUCAUUCCAAUUUGCUUUUGGUUCAUAAUAUUUAGCUUUCGACAUUUUCUGAAAUGAACAUUUCUAGACCUUUAUUUUCAAUAAACUUGACCUGUCAGCCUUAUAAAAGUUCGACCUACAACUGUUGCAGUGUUUGCAUGUUUUUUCAUUGUACGUUCAGAACAUCCUGUACAGUUGAAACGCUGAUAAGUGAGUAAGGCAAAACAGAAAACUGCUAACAGAUGUGUAAACACCUGCCAUCUGAUAAAUGCUACCUAACACUGGAAGCUCCUGUUGUGUUAGUUUCAUCUUCAUACAAUGACUUCAUGAAAGAGGAGGAAAGAGUAGAGGGAAGUUAAUGAGGAGAAAGAAGGUGACGCAAGAAAAAGAGGGUGAAACCUGACCAAUGUCUGUUUUGAUUUAAAUCAGGACAGGCUGUGAGAAUUGACUUCAGUGAGCCAUAACCAGAAUUGAAGUGUGGCAUUAUGUUUUUCAUUAGAACCACAGAGACGUGCAUGAUACCUGUAAAUUCUGGAAAUGUUGGUGCAGACGUCCUGGUCUUUGCAGUGUUUACGCAGCACUAAGCAGAGCUCUGGCAGUAUUGAGAAGGAAACAAACAGCGGACGGGAUUCAGGGUGAUCAGCAAGGUUCCUCAGGGUUGCUGUCAGCUACAGGGGUAGAGAGAAAGAGGCCAGAGUUCAGGUUAGUGAUAGAAGUACAUGUAGUACCUAAACAGACUGCGUUUCAUCCACUAAUGCAUAUCGGUGUUGUGUUGUGGGCAGCACACAAUGUCAAGCUUGUGCUCAUUAAAGCCGGCUGCUAGACAUGUGCAGGACACGCUGCCGCUGAGUGACAGGAAACUGUUCAGUAAUGAAAUUAAUCAUUCCAUCACAAGAAGGAAACAGUAAUUUCCAACACACGGCCGCACUGAAAAUUCUGGAACAUUCGUGGUGUGCUUAUUUCCCCUUCUCUAACGGGAUAAUGAGCUGUGUUAGGUAUCACAUAAAACACUGGUUCAAGAUGUUUGCUUGAGCCAGCUUAUGUGGUUUGCAGCAAUCACAUACAGUGGAGUGAAACAGGGUGUGUUUAGGACUGAAAACUGGCCGGCAGCUAACAUCAUGCUCACGGAGCAGCUUUUAUACCAGACAAAAACAAAAACAUUUUUGUCUAAUAGUGGAAAAAUCUGCAUCAGCCAACCAAUACAAAAAGAAGUACGUUUAACGUUUGGUUCCCCUUUUUUAUGGACAUGGUGUAACUUUGUGGUUUUGACUCAAACUGUCUGCAACUGAAAAGGAGAAUUGUAAGAUUUGUUUUCCAAUACUAAAUCCUCGAAGCUUUGAUAAACAUAACUCAGGAGGAUCUGUGACACACCUGUACGAGGAUGUGGCCUGCUAUAGUGAAGUUGGUGUCUUCUACUAUGCAGAGCUUCUUGAGGAGUUUCUGAGCUGCACUGAUACAGUUCUUAUCCAGCAGAAGUCUGAGCACUGCAGCGUUUCCAGAGAGAAACUUCAAAGUACCAACACAAUACAGCAGAGCUUCUCCAGAUGCAGGCACAUCCUCAUUGCACAGCACAUCCAGCAACAAGUCUAGACAGAAAAAAUACAAAACACCCGUCAUUACCUUCCAUAUGCCAUGGGGUAUUGGCCAUUCUAAAUGACUGAGUAUAGAGGUUGACAAAAAUGAGACUAAAUAGAACCAGACAGAUAAAAAAUAACCCAUAAACAACUACUAAUUAAGAACAUAACUUGCUGCAGUGUAGGAAACCACUAAAAACUGUCAUCCUGACCGAUGAUAGAGUUGUUCUGGAAGAGGAUGUCGUUGCUUUCACUGCGGCCGAUCUGGAAAAUGAGCUUACAGAUGUUGAGCAGGUUGUUUCCACUGACGCACAGCUGGAGAGAAAAAUGCAAAAGACUUUCACACAACUUUUGCACUAAGCAGUGGCCUGGACGCUUUAUGACAGAGACUUGUGUUAGACAAACACACACACCAACAAACACACAUUUUGCAAAACUCACAGACAACUCACAGCGAGGCAGAGCUUGGCGAUGUGCAGGUUGAGCCGGGCAGAGUUGAGGUCAAUGAGGCGGAACAGCGUUCGAAGUAUCCCCGACCUCCUCUUACAGCGUCGACCGAGCAUGUCCGCUUCUGCCAAGGUGCCGUGGAGACCAUCGCACAAAUCACACAGACGGUCCAGCGAGGCCUCGGAGCCGCCUGGCAUCGCAGGCGAGCACACGUAUCACAUGAAAAACUAUGUCAGGUUCAGGACAACAUGUCAAACGCUCACAGAGAAAGCAAACAUUGCAGAAUUAAAACACCCACUAGUGUGUGUGUGUGUGUGUGUGUGUGUGUGUGUGUGUGUGUGUGUGUGUGUUGGCGAGUGUGUAUCCAUAUAAAUACAGACGAGGGAGGUUUUAUGGAUAUUGUGGUGUGCAUGUAGAAUAUGCAGGCGCUCUGCUUUACGGUGUAUGGGAAUGUGAGGUCAAAUCCUCAAUAAUACAUUGGUUAGCAGAAAAUUAACAUUCUCCUCCCUCUUCUAAGAAGCAGCUUGGAGUUUCAGUGGUCAAAUGCUGGGGAACAAUCCUGCAACAGGCAGCAACACUCUUGACGCAGAGGAAGAGAAAGGGUGGAGUCUUUUCCUUGUUUUUGAGUACCUGCAGCCACACUCUCUAGUUGAUGAAGAAGAGGAGCGAUCACAUCAUUCCACAGCAGUGACUCUGCAUUCCCCUCUGUGCUCGUGGUGUUGUCUCCAUACACCAGCUCUGAAAUAUGCAGAGAGAACUGCAGUUACCCAAUUACCACCUCCGAACACAGGCGCGGCGGUAAUGUGGUGAGAGAUCCAGCCCUGAGGAGGCGUGUCCGUGACCCUACCAGGCCCUUCCUCGCUUCAGCUGGGUCAGUGGGCGGUUUGGGAAAGGUCUUGGAUGGAUCCUCAGUAUUGCAUUCGACUGGAAACUUUGGUUUCUGCCGCAACACAAACAAUUCACCGGCAUACGAUGGUGUGGAGAAUCAGCCCGAGGAUUCAUUCACCAGUUGUAACAGAUUUAAACAGAGAAAACAUCAGGAUCCAUCUUGGGGUUCUCACGGUUUUCAUCAGUGAAGUUUUCAGAGAAGCUGAUGUGAAGAUGGCUCCCAAGAAAAAGAAAAAUUAAAAGUAAGAUCUCUUCUUUGUCCAUCCAGUUUUGUUCUGAAAAUAACUGAGCUCCAUUUAACAUCACUGUGAGAUUUUGACCUUUUCUCGUACUUCUUAAAGUCAGCUCCUGAGAAUCAGCUCUCCUGUUGUCUCAGCCCAAUCUCAGUCUAAGAUCUUAAAAUGUUCUUUUUCUCUCACUGCAUGGAUCUUUAUGUGCCAGUUUUAUCUCAGAGCCAAUUUUGUGUACAGUGUUUAUUAAUGUCUGCUGUUGCACAAAUAGAGAGAGUAAGGUAAUUUCAAUCCUCGGUAUGUAAUGUACAUAUUGAAGAACUGACAAUAAAGCUCACUUUGACUGGAAAUAAUCAACUCUGGACUUAACAGGAAGAUCCAAAAGAAAAUUUGACUGGCCUAUAAAUCAUAUUUAAUGCCUGUGCAUCAGAAAUUUGUCUCAACAGUCAAAUUCAAGUUUCAUUUCCCCAUAUUUACCUGUUCAAAUGACUGAUAAAUGAUAAUCUCUGUUUGUAUGCAUGCAAGUCUGUUCAUUGUAUAUCAUAAUGACCAUAUAUCUGAUCCCACUUGAUCAAACUUGGCAGGUGUAUUGCUGGAGAUCCAGUUUAUUGCAGUGCUGAGUUUUAAGUCAUUUGGAUGAGCAUUUUUUUUGGAGUUUAAUGACUGUGUUGUCUACCUUUGCUAAUGCUAACAUGACUGUACUAUUUGUUUUAUUAAAAAAAACGUUUUCUAUGCAA